UGCCAGCCGCCGCGGUAAUACGGAGGGGGUUAGCGUUGUUCGGAAUUACUGGGCGUAAAGCGCACGUAGGCGGAUCAGAAAGUAAGGGGUGAAAUCCCAGGGCUCAACCCUGGAACUGCCUCUUAAACUCCUGGUCUUGAGUUCGAGAGAGGAGAGAGGAAUUCCUGGUGUAGAGGUGAAAUUCGUGGAUAUUCGGAGGAACACCAGUGGCGAAGGCGGCUCACUGGCUCGAUACUGACGCUGAGGUACGAAAGUGUGGGGAGCAAACAGGAUUAGAUA
Molecule: ribosomal RNA, 279 nt
Filed under: uncultured bacterium
Lineage: Bacteria
Description: partial 16S ribosomal RNA
Rfam family: Bacterial small subunit ribosomal RNA
Source: RNAcentral